Molecule: long non-coding RNA, 502 nt
Organism: Arabidopsis thaliana (thale cress)
Lineage: Eukaryota; Viridiplantae; Streptophyta; Magnoliopsida; Brassicales; Brassicaceae
Product: other RNA
Exons: 1
Source: RefSeq
AUCACCACCAGGAUGAUCAUCCAAGAACUUUGUCACAUCAUAAACCUAUAUAUAACCAUCAAAAUGAAACACACAAAAAAUGUAAACUUUGUCAUAUAAGUCCCUAAUUCCACACAAUCAGAGACCUAGAUUAAGUGGGUUAUCAAAAGUUCAUACAUCAGAACAUACAUGAACUACAUGAACCUUACUAGCUUUAACUACAGAUACAAGAUCACACAGAGACAUCUUAAGCAGCACCAACUAUCACAUUCAAUUAUAAAGACGUAAGUUUUUAGCAAUUUCUCUGUGAUUUAGACUUAGAAAAGUAACAUUAAUCUAGCAAAUCAGAUCAGAUCUAUCCCCAAACUUGUUACUACAUAACUCUAGAUUUAUAAAUCCAAGUCAACACAACUCAAGAAUUUCGGAUCUCACGAAGAUAAGAUGCAAAAUCUAAGGGAAAACGGAAAAUCGAAUGAGAAACUGGGAUCGGAGAUGUAGGACCUUGCCGUCGAUGACGAUCCAA